Molecule: unclassified non-coding RNA, 11254 nt
Filed under: Leishmania donovani
Lineage: Eukaryota; Euglenozoa; Kinetoplastea; Trypanosomatida; Trypanosomatidae
Description: gene:LdHU3.18.1820(CDS-product:Protein_of_unknown _function_(DUF3648)_putative)
Source: RNAcentral
GAGCGAAAGAAAAGGGAAUCAAACCUCCGAGGUCAUCUCCCUCUCCCUCUCCCCUCAAACACGCACACGCGCGCGCACCCUAUAUCAUCACACAUACACGAAAACGAGCGGGCCAAAACAGAAAGACGCACAGACGCCUGUUUGGUGCGUGCGCGCGCGAGCAGAGCUGCCGCCGACACAGCCGUGCGGCUGACAGCCUCUCUCUUUGCUGGCCGAUCUCUCUGCGUGUGCACGGAUUUCGUGCAAGUGCAUUCCUUUUUCUGUGUGUGGACAUCGCCACGCAUCAGCCGUUUCCGUUGCUUCGAUAGCACGACUGCUGUUGGCUGUUGUGGGGCUCUGUAUAUCAAUUUGAAGGUAACACGCGCACUCCCUUCCUCUCUGCGUCUCUGCACCCCUGUCUGCGUCUGUGUGUGUGUGUGUGUGCCUGUCUGUCUGUGUGUGUCUCUCACAUAGCGGCGUUGCUUAUUCGACUUGUGUGCUGGACAUCCUGCUUGACUUCGUUGUUCGUCUUUUUCCUUGUCGUUGUCCCUCUCUAUAUAUUUUAACUUUUCGACGCCACCCCCUUUAUUUUGUUGUUUUCUCGUUGUUCUUUCUCGUGUUGCCCUGUUCUGCGUGCGCUCGUUGCUGUCUUCUUUCUUCGUUGCGUGUCUGCCACUCUCUGUCUUCCUGCGAAGUGUGCUGCCUUCUUCGGCUUGCGCCUUUCCCACACUUCUCUCUUUUUCGUUUCUGUCGUGCUGUUUGGCAGUUGUUGUUGAGCCGGCGCUGUGCACCAGAGUUGUCGUGGUCUCUGCUGCCUCUAUUAGGCGUUCUUGGGUACGCCUAUCUGUCUCUCUGUCUGUGAGCGUGGGAAGGCAUUACACGGCUCCUGCCGUUUUCCCUCUCUCCCCCUUUUUGUGUUUCGCGUCUCCGUAAUCUGUGCCCCCUCCCCUCUUGUGUGAUCACUCCGCCCCCGCACCGCUGCGUGCUCGCGUCGCUUUUCUCUCUACCACUACCUCCGCGGCUAUUUUAUACAUAUAUAUAUAUAUAUUAUAGUAUAUAUAUGUAUGUAUGUUUGUUGACUACGAACGCUCUCUGCCUGCCUGUCUGUGAGUUUCUCGCGGUCGAUUUCGGUUUCCUUUUCUGUUUUUUCGGGUGCGUGUAUCUUGGCACUUACUCGCCUCCUUUUUUUUUAUUUUCAUUUUUCUUGGUCCCUCUUUCUCUUUUUGGCCGAUUAUCCUGGCGCCACUUUGCGGUUGCUGUCGUUCUCGCGGUUGCUGGUACGCUGGAGGCGCUCGUUCUUGUCGUUUUACGCUGACGACUCCGGGUAACGGGGCCGAGAGAGAGAGAGAAGGAGGAGGAGGCAUCAUACCUUUGGCGACGUAUCACUGCCAUCUGUUGCAAUCCCCUUUCCUUUUUUCCUUCUUGUUUUUGGGAUCUGUCUUUGCGCGAGUGCGUGCGCCCAUCACGUUACUGUCGACAUCAGCGUCGGCUCCCAGGUUUGCGUCUUCGGUUUUUUUUUGUUUUCUUUAGCGUCCUCUCUUCCGCAUCCUUGUCCCUCUCUUCGUGCCGACGCCAGGGCCUCGUUUUCCAUAGCACAACAAGGGCGCGGAAGACACAGCAAGCGCGAGAGGAAAGAGCAGAGUUGCUGUUGCGCCCAGCAUCGCUCUUCUCCGUUUGCCUGGCUGCCUCACAUCCACCCCUCACCACCACCACAUCUACCUUGCAUUCAUUCGGCAAACAUACACACAGCAGCCGAAACAACAACCUCCUCCCUCCCUCCCCCACACACGAAAAAAAACGCGCGUUUCUGUGUCUGUGUGCCGGCGUCCUCCCCGCGCUCACUCUCAUACGCACACACUUGCGUACCUUUUUUACUCUUCCGAGGCGCUCCCCCUUGCCGGCCCGUCCUCUUUUCUCAGCACCGACGCAACACCAGGGGAGAGAGGGGGCGCGCAAAACAAAGAAAACAACGAAAAACGGCGGACGGCGUAGACGGCAAGAGAGAGGCAUCGCAGAGGGAGAGAGCAGUCCUAAAAGAAAGGUGUGAGAAGGCGAGAAGAGAAUACGAAGCCGAAGAAAGCGAAGAUAAGCCGCGAACACACAGGACGACAUCAAGGAGAUUCGUCAUCACUGAAGCCCCCCCUCCUCCUCCCCUCCCUCUACAGAAUUCAGGCUGCUUAACAGCAAUAACAGAAAUAACAGCCACGAUACACACACACACACACGCAACGACUCCGCAUCGAUUAACUAAGCAGGCGAGGGUUUUAUCCCUUUUCUAUUUUUCGUUUCUCCCUCUUUUCUUUCGUUUGGUUGGCGCUCGCCUCCUCCCCUCCUGUGUGUGUGUGUGUGUGUGUGUCUUUUUACCUCGCUUGCAGCCGCACCGGUUGCACACAACGUCAUAGUCGUUGGUAUGAUAUAUAUAUAUAUAUAUAUAUUGUGUGUGCGUGUCUGUUCAUUUUAUCUUGAAUUUCGCUGCUGUCUCCUAGUCGUGCACACCAAGCCAAGUCAUUGCUCCCCCCCCCCCCGACACACACAUACCCCAAACAAACAGCCGCAAGUGUACACGACCAUCAAGACCGACCAGCAAGCAGAGGAGGACUUAAAGAGGGGUAAGAGAGAAAGCGAAUAAGCGUUUCCUCCUAGAGAGUGUGGUUGGUUGCCUGACGCAUCGCAGCAGUGUAGCUGCUGGAAGAGAAGUAAGGUGAAGAGUGAAGACAGUUGCAUCGGCGUCCGAGGAAAACAGGCGCACCGAGAGCGAAAGCAGAUAUUCAGUGGGGACUGACGAGGAGAAGUUCGUCGACUAACAUCAGUUACCCCCUCACCCUCCCCGCCCUUGCAUUACUGACCUUUGGCUCGACCGAGAGGAAAAAAAGGGAACUUGCGCCCAAAACGCCCAUCCUUUUCGCUUACUGCCACACUCCUUUCUGUGUUUGCUGGCUCAACACUGCGUAGCGUGUGACUACUUUCUCGCUGUGCCGGCUUCCCCUCACCCCCUCUCUUUCUCUCCGCGCCUUCUUCUCCCUUCACCUCCCAAACCACAAUAGCCGUAUUCGUUUCUUCUCGUGCGCGUGCUUGUGUCCGUCUGUGCCGUUGUCAUCAUCGCACACGCACACAGACGCCCCCCUCUCCUCCUCCUCUUUGCCUGCCUUUGCUGACUUUACGCCUUUGUAUUUUCUUCGUUCCCUGCCAUUCCGUACGUACGUAGGCCACCUCCUCUGUCGUCGUGGUCACGCCUCAGCCCUCUCCUUCCAUUUUUUCUUCAUCCCUAUAGUUUGGUCUCUCUCUCGUCCUUCUCCGUCUUUUUUUUUUUGUUUGGGUCCCCGAGUAGUUUUUGCAUGGUUGUACAUCUCUGCGCCAUUCUCCCCUCCCUUCCCCAAGCCCAUCAAUAUCUGUGUAUACUUCACGAACCUUUUCCACUCCUCUCCUUCCCCCUUCUCUGCACACACUCGCUCUCUACUGUGCCCCCAUCCCCUUCUUCGUUUUCUUUUUUCUAUAUUUUCUGUUUCUCUUGCUUGUCCGUGUCUCUGUGAAUCGCUGCUGCUGUCGCAAUCUUACUCGUGCUUGCAUUGUCUCUGUCUGUCUGUCUGUGUGUGGCGCCUCACUUCCCACGCUUUUUGUUUGUUUCUCUUCCACCGGAUUCCCGUCCACUUAUUUCCGUCGUUUCGUUUUAGGACAUCUCCCCCACACAAACUCACCCACGCGGCCCCUCUCACGUCUCCUCGCAUCUUUUCUUGGCCUCUACCUCCGACUUCCUCUCUUACCUCAAGCUUCCUCCUCGUCGUCGUUUUUUUUUUUACUGCUCUGUCGUUCUACAACUCUCCCCAUCUUUUUGCUCGCUCUUCGGCCGUGUCUGUUUCUUCGUGUGGGCGUUGCCGUCGGGGUUUGUCAUCAUCAUCGUUGUUGCGGUGGCUGUUGCUGUGGUUGUGGUUGCUUCUGCGCUACGCUCCGUCAUCAUUGCGUUCUCUGUUGCUGUUUUUUUUUUUCUUCGUUUCUUCUGCAUCUCUCUUCUCUCUCUCUCUCUCACAAUUUCUUGUUCGUGUUGUGAGGCUGUCCACCUUCCCCCCUCUUUCUUCCCUGCCCUCGUCUUCGACUGGUUGAUUCAUUGACGCAACUCCGGGUUCUCGCCUGCGUGACUUCGCGUUAUCUUCGUUUUCCCACUCGCUUACUUCUCGCAUUUUUCUUUCCCUCUCGGGCUCCGGUCGCUGUUCCUCUUUACUGUUGUCGUUGCGUGUGCGUGAGUGCGUGUGCCCCAUAUCACGAGCAGAUUUGCAUCCGCGCGCGUGUCUCGUUGAAUUCGACUGACUUCUUUUUUUUUUGUCUGUCUUAUCUCUCGUUGAUACGGUCUCUCUUCUUCCCUCCACUUUCUCUGGCAUCAUUGUCUUUUGUGUUUCUUUUCUCCGCUCGUGCCGUUGUGCUUGCACAUACACCCGCAGACACGCGCAGGCGCACCGACUGCUGCCUCUCCCACAUCUGUGGCAGCAGCGUAGAAUCGGAUCGACUGAGAAAGAGGAAAGCCGCGAAGAGAACACGGCGCUCUAGAGUACGCAGCCGAGUCACUGGCGCACACUAACGCGCGCGUAGUGUCCUGCACGGCAGUGCUCUGCCUAUAAGGCACUGCUACCUGCCAUUCCUCCCUUAGACACAUAGCACCGUCAUACAAGGGCGGCAGCAUAUAUAUAUAUAUAUAUAUAUAUAUGCGAUAUGGAGGCUAGCGGUACCCUGCGAAGCAGCGGUGACUCGUCACCGAUUGUGGCGUCUACUGCCGACGCCAGUUGCGAUGCAGCGAUGCCAGCGCUGCGAAAAAGUAUUGUCGCAGCAGCAGGCUCGAGCAGCAAGCCCGGCUCCCCGAGCAGCAGUCUCGGAAAUGUCAGCUUGCCCGAUACGCACUCCCCCCGAACCCAGGACCUCGGCGGCGGUGAGAAGGACCGCCUGUGGCUGCCGGACUCACUGCACAACGUCGCUGAAGCAACAGCCACAACAUCACCAAAUACGGCUAGUCAUCCGCCUGCCCGACUUCUCCAUCACAGAGACUCCUUCAUAUCUAUGCACAGCACCGACGCACCCUCAGCAGCGGUUCCACUCACCUGCAUGAGCUCGCCGCCGUCCCCGCUGGCGAGGGCGGAGUGCCUGCGCGCGAGUGAGAGCGAGAGUUUUGACACCGGCAACAUGAACAACGUGGGAGGCAGCCGUGCGUCCACGAAGCGGCUGCGCUCUGAUCGCAUGCAGGCAAUCAGAGCUACCUCCGCAGCACCGCCAUCGCGGCUGCGGCGCAGUGCUUCGCUACCAACAACCGGAUGCAAUGGCAGCCACAUCUUCAGCGCCCGACUUUCCACCCCGUCUGCUGCCGGUGGCGCAGGCGGUGGCACAGGGUCUUGCAGCUCACCCACUCCACUCAGCGAACGCAGCGGUAAAAAGAGCAGCAGCAGAAGUAGUCCUCAGCCUCCAACAGUUGCGACACCGCUGUUGCAGCGCGCACCGCACGCGCAGGACACGGCGCGCGCCAAGGGAGGUGAUACAUCGCAUGAUGGGGGUGGCGCGCAGUUCUCGACGCGCCAGCUCGGCUAUCUGUCGAACUCCGAGCUCUCGAACGCGCCAGAUGGCAGCGAACCGACUCCCUACACUGCGGGCGCGUCGGCGAGCAGCAGCCCCACGGCGGCACAGUCAUCGCCGCCACCGCUGCCAUCAUACACGCUGCCAGUGACGGACGACACUCACUGUCAGGACAACGUUUUGGCAGGUGACAUGGGCGACGCCACGGCCGUUGUCGCACCCGCCAGGAAGCGCAAGAAAAAGAAAAACAAGAAGAAGAAGUCGGCAGCAGCGGCAGCGGCCGGCGCGGUCGAGGGAGAGGACGCUGCCAUGUCAGCGGCGGCGGCUGCUGGUGCUGCCGGCGGCACGGGCACUCCGAUCGGCGGCAGCGCCACGGUGAAUAGCGCCGUCCCGGCGACUGGCUCGUUGCCGCUGCCACCUAUCCCGAUGAUGCCCGGAGGCGGCGGCAACUCCAGUGGGGUCGUCCCUGGCGCAUUCUUGAGCCCUGGCUGUAGCCAGGGCCACGGUAGCGGCGGCAGCGGUUCUCUGCUGUACAGCAACCUUCCGCAGCCGCAGUUUCAUCCCCAACAUCUCGGCGGAGCACGCGGGCAGUUCGUGAUGAUGUUCAAUGGUGCGCAAGGCGGCGAUGGUGCAGGCGACCCGAUCAUGAUGGGUUACUCGAUGAAUGGCGGCGCUGGUGGCAUUGAUGGCGGCGGCGGCGACUACACGAGUGCCGGCACAGCUGUUUGUGCGGGGGGUGAGGGCAGUACUUACGGUCGAGGGGGAUCGGCAAUGAUGAUGGUGCCUAUGAUGGCCUCCAACUACCACCACCACCACCACCACAGCCGCCAUGAAAGCAGCGGGUCGGGUGGGGCGUAUGGUUACUAUCAUGGCGGGAUGAGUGAUUGCGGCAGAGGAGGAACCGCCGGCAUGUCGCCUGCGCAUACACAGAUGGGCCAUCAGGGUGUGGGGCGAAACCUGCAGGAGGAGCAGCGGCAACAGCAGCACGUUCAACAACAGCAAACACCGUAUCCCUAUCCACCUCAGCCCGUGCUGAUGGGCAGUGACGGCAGUGCUGGUAGUGGCUCGUAUCCAGCGAACAGCGGCCACAACCGCCACGGCUCGGCGCACCGCAGCGGUGGUGGCAACAGUGGCGGCCCGCAAUACUCUUCGCAGCCACAGCAGCAGUAUCAGCAGCAGCAGUGCUACUAUCAGAACCUUCGCUACAACUCACAGCCUUACUUUCAUGGCGGCGUCUCCUCCACGACCGGCGCUGAUGCGAAUGCGAUGCAGGGAGGGCUGAUCAUGGCAACAGGUGAGGGAAGCAGUGGCGCUGAGGGCGGUGGCCGCGGCGAGUGCGCCGGCUUCUCGAACACCCAGGGCCAAUCCAGCGGCGGCGUCGGCGGCUCGAUGCAGUACAAUGGAGAGGAUGCCGCGAGCCGGGUGCCGUCGCAGGUGCCCGUGGAGGACAUGGUGCCGGUGCCUCAGCAACCCCAGCGCAACGUCAGCUUUCGACCUCCGAUGCCAGCGGCGAGCGCGUCUGGCAUGUCCUACUACCCACCAAACAGCGCCGCACCGGCAACACUGGCGGCGGCUGCCGGUGCCCCCAACAACGGCAGCGUGAACAGUAGCUAUGUAAGCUGCGGCAGUCGUGGAGGUGUGUCGGGGUCGAUGAUGGCCAGGGAUGGCGGCGCAGCGGUGAACGGUGAGGCGAGGUUGCCGCGAGAGGAGGUGAUGACGGCGGACCUCGCGGCGGAUGCGGCGCCGCGGUCGCUUUUUCAGUUCACGCCCGAGGUGAGCCCGCGCCUCUGUCGCCUGAUCGAGCGCGAGCUGCUGACAUACUUGACGCCGUCGCUGGCGUGUCUGCAGCGCCGCCGCAGUCAGUUGGAGACGCUGGCUGGGUACAUCACAGCCGCGCUGCGCCACGCGGGCCGACAGACCGGCCACGACUAUGGCGACAUCUCCUACUACAUCUUCGGCAGCGUGAACAUGCGCACCGUGCUGCCGGACGGCGACAAUGACGUGACGGUGGAGGUUGACGGCUUGGUGGCGAGGGAGUCGACACUGACGCCUCCACCUUCGCCUCCGCAGCCGCUGUCGUCAUCUUCGCUCAGCGAUGGAGGUGGCGCUGCCUUGGACGCUUCCGCUAAAGCGGUCAUGCUCCCUGUGACGACCGACAGCAGCACCGGCAGCGUUGAUGGAACGAUGCAGCUAACGACAACCACGGACGGCUGCCCGCGUCUUGUGGCGCCAGCGGUGCUGAGCAUCGCGUCCGGUGAGGUACUCGGCCGCGUGCGGGACUACCUGCGCAGCUUCAAGACGCCUGUCUUUGUCGAUUCCUUGGUGAUGGCAGAGGUGCGCGUGCUGAAGCUGGCGAUGGAGGGGUGCAACUACGACAUCACUAUUGGCCAAUUUGGCGGUGUCAACUGCGUGCGCUUCUUGCACGAGAUGGACGCAGUGAUCGGGGACCAGCACGUGCUCAAGCGCACACUGCUGCUCCUCAAGGCAUGGUGCUGUUACGAGGCCCACAUCUUGGGUGGGCAAGCCGGCUACAUCGGCUCCUACGCGGCGACAGUGAUGCUGAUCUCGAUGUUGAACACGGUGGAAUUCCUCGAGGACGCCGACGCUGGGCAGAUUGACAGUGAUGGUGACGGCACGGCCGCAGCGGCGGCGAGGGCGGCCGUGACGUUGGACUCCCUGAUGAGCGGCGACAGCACCGCGGAGGAGGAGGAGUCUUUGCUUCAGAAUCCCGCAUCCUCGUCCAGUGCACCGGUGACCACGGCGGCCAAAGCCUCCACCACGAAGAGGACCAAGGCGGACCAGGAGGGUGAAGGGCUCCUAAGCGAUAUUACAAGCUCGACGAGCAGCAACCGCGGCGGCCGCUGUCACGAUCGUGACUCUGCCGGGCAGCCAGGACCGUCACCGUCCCGCCCUGCGGGCCGUGACACCACUGCCGCGUCGCCGCGCCCCUUGUCGCCGCUGACUCUGUUCGCGCGCUUCUUGAAGUUCUACGCUUAUUUCGACUUCGACCGGUAUUGUGUGACAGCCUUCGGCCCACUGCCGCUGCACAAGAUCACCUCAACUCCGCUGGACCUUAGCUACCUCGAGGUGGAUGCGGCGCACAGCAAACCGCUGGAAGGUGUUGCUGCGUCGAACCGCGCGGCUACGGACUUGUCCUUUCUCGGCUUGACCCCGGAGGGUGAGGCGGCGAUUGGCCAUCUUGUGCGCCGCCGCCAGCAGCCGCUGCUCACCGUGAGCGGUGUGAAGCACUUGCUGGACCAGGUGAACCGCUCGCGGCGUGCAGAGCGCCAGGCACGGUACGAAGCACACCAACAGCCAGCGCAGCGACCCGAGCAGCAGACGGAUACCAACGCUGCGCAAAAUGCAUCGGAGCACCGCAGCACCAGCGCUUCUUCUCUAGUGCAGCUGAACCGCCCCGGGUGCGCCGCUGAGGACGCCGGUCUGAUGUGCCCAUCCUGCAACACUGCCGUCUUCCCUGUUCGUGACAUGAACGUGCUGGACCCGCUGCGGUGGAGCAGUAACAUGGUCCGUGGGGUGUGUCGCAACCACCUUCAGCGCAUUCAGCGUGCGUUCCUGGAAGGGCUUCGACUCUUGGAUGUGGCGUCGCAGGAGCUCGGCGGAGACAUGAUGCAGAUGGACGUGACGAGCGUCGGCGCCUCAGCCAGUGCGGGCCGCACCGCCGGUGGUGUUGGCGCGACUGGACGCCGAAGAGCCGGGGCUGCCGCCGCAAAAGCUGCCGCGUCGCCGACGUCGCAGUGGUCUGCUUUCAGUGCCGCGAGCAGCAGCAGCCGCAGCUGGACCGACAGCGCCGCGAACGGUGUCGCCGGCCAAGCACGCGUUCAGCAGGGCGCGAUGAGCGGCGCCUCAAUGUACGGCUCCCCAGGGAGCGCGGUGGAGGCCGGGGGCGAUGGUGUUGGAGAGGUGCAGCUAUGCCCGGGCUACCCUGCGCCGCACUCGCAGUGCACGCUUCGUGAGGCGGGUGUUUUGGAAAUGCUGUUUCCACGCACCAUUGAGGCUAUCCGCAAGCACAGUCACCUUAACUGCCCAUGGGGCUGCGAGGGGGCGGAUGCGGCGGCGCUGACGGGAGUGCCGCAGUGCGCGGGCUGCACAAGGCCCUCCCUGCUGUGCACACCGGCCAUCCGCCGCAUGUGCCAGCCGCAGCUCAUCUUCCACCCCUCCAGCACUAGCGAGGGCAGCAACACGGCUGCCACUGGGGGGAGGCAGCCAAAGCAACUGCAGUCGACAAGCGGUAAGGCCACAUCCUCGCCCACCUCCACUGCCACGCCGCAGCAGUCGCUAUCAUUGGCCGUCUCUCCCACGCAGAGCAAACAUCAUCAAGGUCCAGGAGGGCGGCGUGGCAACGCGGCGGCGGUGGAACAGGUGGUGAGUGAACUGGAGGAGGCAUUCGCUGGCCAAGACACGAGCGAAGAAGCCCGUAACGGUGGCCCGCUCGGGGAGGCGAUGGUGCCCGUGGCGGAGCAGCCUCUGACACGUGACAGCGCGGCAUGUGGCGCGACUGGUUCACAGCCGCCACCGCCGUCAUCGUCCACGGCCUCCGCGUCGCCGCUUCAGGGCAAUGUCUACGGCCCGGGCGCGGCAGAGGCCACGAUGCAUCAUCAUUCACACCAGAUGUACAGCCCCGGCGGAGCGUGCAACAGUGGUGGCGUCGGCGGUGCGUACCUCUCGGCCUACCCGGCGAUGCCGCUUUCGGCUAGCAUGCCUGAGGAGAAGUACUACGCCAUGCACGUUGGUGCUGCUGCAGGGGGUAGCGCUGGUGGCGCCGGCAGUUCCGGUGGGUACGGCCUCUCUCCUAGUCAUCACGGCAAUCGCAACAUGGGGCCACCGUCACAGCAGCACCAGCAUCACCAUUACGCGCAGCAGCAGCAGCACCAGCACCAGCACCAGCAUCACGCUCAGCAAGCGCAUGUACGUAUCGGUUCCAUGUCCUCCUCGGUGAUACAAGGCAGCUACAACGCUAACAACGGAGGCGGCACCGGCAACCCGGGCCACCGUACCUACGCGACCAACCCAACGGUACCAGUUCCGAUGGAGGGCAGUGGGUUUCCGUCCUACGGCGGACACAACUACGCCCCCGCUGUGCGUCAACAACAGCAGCAGUACCCCUAUCAGCACCAGCAACAUCAUCACCACCGCGGCGAUGAUGGCACUAUGCCACACAGCAGCGGUAAUCACGGCUACAAGGGUGGUGGUAGCUGCCUGCACAACAUAAACCAUCACGGCAACAACAGCAGCAGCGACUCCAGCGCCCAAGCGCUGCUGCUGCAGCGGCUGUAGAUGAUUGUGAGAGGGGCUGUCAGGUAAGGCGGAGAACAGCGCGGGGCAAGAUGCUGCUGAGGAGGGGGGGGGUGCCCCAGGCUCUGGUGUGGAUCUUUCUAUGCGUUUGUGUGUGUACCUUCGCGGUGGUGUGACGGUGCCCGCAUCCAUACCUUCCCUCCCCUCGUCCCAACCGCACCCGAGUUACUUUUCCGUUGCUUUCACGCCGUUGUUGUGCCAUGCGCAACAUGCUCCGCGGCAAAUAGGCUGAACUCUGUCUCAUGCUCUUAUUAUCUUCGGUGCUCGUAUGCGCUCGUGUGUGUGAGAACAGCGUUCGGUGGGAGCGGCCCCAUCGCCGGCAGCUGCGGCCCAUUUCGAGCGUUGUGUUCAUGGUUCAGGAAGCGACAUGUUAGGCUCCUUUGUUUUGCUGUUGUCCUCCGCGACAAGGAAC